GUUGAGCCUCGGAUCAGGUAGGGAUACCCGCGAACUUCUUCCUGUCAAUAACGGGAGGA
RNAcentral lists this ribosomal RNA (59 nucleotides) under Pseudocercospora eumusae. Its description in RNAcentral is "partial 28S ribosomal RNA". The record is from RNAcentral. Lineage: Eukaryota; Fungi; Ascomycota; Dothideomycetes; Mycosphaerellales; Mycosphaerellaceae.